CCUACGGGGGGCAGCAGUGGGGAAUAUUGGGCAAUGGGGGAAACCCUGAACCAGCAACGCCGCGUGAGGGAAGACGGUUUUUGGAUUGUAAACCUCUGUCCUCUGUGAAGAUAAUGACGGUAGCAGAGGAGGAAGCUCCGGCUAACUACGUGCCAGCAGCCGCAGUAAUACGUAGGGAGCAAGCGUUGUCCGGAUUUACUGGGUGUAAAGGGUGUGUAGGCGGCUUUGGAAGUCAGAAGUGAAAUCCAUGGGCGUAACCCAUGAACUGCUGUUGAAACUGCAGAGCUUGAGUGGAGUAGAGGUAGGCGGAAUGCCCGGUGUAGCGGUGAAAUGCGGAGAGAUCGGGAGGAACACCAGUGGCGAAGGCGGCCUGCUGGGCUCUAACUGACGCUGAGGCACGAAAGCGUGGGUAGCAAACAGGAUUAGAUACCCUUGUAGUC
Molecule: ribosomal RNA, 440 nt
Filed under: uncultured bacterium
Lineage: Bacteria
Description: partial 16S ribosomal RNA
Rfam family: Bacterial small subunit ribosomal RNA
Source: RNAcentral